Molecule: ribosomal RNA, 460 nt
Filed under: uncultured bacterium
Lineage: Bacteria
Description: partial 16S ribosomal RNA
Rfam family: Bacterial small subunit ribosomal RNA
Source: RNAcentral
CCUACGGGAGGCAGCAGUGAGGAAUAUUGGUCAAUGGCCGGAAGGCUGAACCAGCCAUGCCGCGUGAAGGUCAGUGCCCUAUGGGCGUUAAACUUCUUUUGUGCGGGAGCAAUAAUGGUCACGUGUGGCCAGACGAGAGUACCGUACGAAUAAGCAUCGGCUAACUCCGUGCCAGCAGCCGCGGUAAUACGGGGGAUGCAAGCGUUAUCCGGAUUUAUUGGGUUUAAAGGGUGCGUAGGCUGUGAGGUAAGUCAGCGGGGAAAUGCCCCCGCGCAACGGGGUGAAGUGCCAUUGAUACUGCCUUGCUGGAAUGCGGAUGCCGUGGGAGGAAUGUGUGGUGUAGCGGUGAAAUGCAUAGAUAUCACACAGAACACCGAUUGCGAAGGCAUCUCACGAAUCCGCGAUUGACGCUGAUGCACGAAAGCGUGGGUAUCAAACAGGAUUAGAUACCCUAGUAGUC